CAAAAACAUAGCUACGUGUGGACAUUCGUAGUAAUUUCUGCUCAAUGGAUAUUAAAUAGCCGCAGUACCUUGACUGUGCAAAGGUAGCGUAAUAAUUUGACUUUUAAAUGAAGUCCAGUAUGAAGGGAUACUUGAGGAGCAGCUUUAUCUUUAAUAUUUAAUGAAAUUACCUUAUAAGUGCCAAACCUUAUACCAAAAUGAUAGACGAGAAGACCCUAGAAAUUUUAAUAAUAUUGUUAGAUUUUUUUUUGUUGGGGCAACAAAGUAACAUUUAAUUUACUGUUUUAGACAUGAACAUUCUUGUGAAAGAGUAAAUUACUCUAGGGAUAACAGCGUAAUUAAUUAAAGAUUGCGACCUCGAUGUUGGACUAGGAAACUAUUGCUUAGAAGGUACCAUGUUAAGCUCUGUUCGAGC
This 415-nucleotide ribosomal RNA is filed under the name Ningbingia octava. RNAcentral describes it as "partial 16S ribosomal RNA". It matches the Rfam family "Archaeal large subunit ribosomal RNA", at positions 1900 to 2655 of the family's 2987-position model. Lineage: Eukaryota; Metazoa; Mollusca; Gastropoda; Stylommatophora; Camaenidae. The record is from RNAcentral.